GUCGUGCGUUUCUAAUUCUGGAUCUUCGGAUUUUUGGAAUGGUCUUCUGCGAUAUGCGAACGAAAAACUCAGUACGUGGUGCCUUGCAAAAUCCUAAAGUGUGCUAGAACUGGGAGCUGAAUUUCUACCGUCCUUUGAUAUUUUUGGACAAAUAAAUUAUUAUUUUUUUAAAAUCAUUUUAUAAUACAGUUAUAUACCUCACAAUGCCAAAGAAAGGAGGGGACAAGCCAGCAGCGGAUGCUGGAAAAGGAAAAGCGGAUGACAAAGGAAAAGGAGGGGAUAAAGGGAAAGACAAAGGGAAAGGAGGGAAGGGAAAAUGAUUGUGAUCAACAACUACGAUUUAUAUCCAGCGCGACACCGCUUCUGCUACAGAUAACAGAUAUGAUUUGGAUUUCUGAAAGGUCAGGUGGGAUUUCAGCCGUUACCAAAUCACCGUUUUGUAUUCUGAGCUAUAGAUUGGCUAAUUGUGUACAAAUGCUGUAGCGUACGUGUACGAUUUUAAUGUACCUCGUAUGUACCUUUCAAAAGCACAUGCCAUAUAAAAAAUCUCAUUUGUCUUCCUCUUUCUGUUAUUGCGACUGUUCUGGAUUACAAAAUAACUAUGAAGGAUCUUGAUCAUCUAGCAUUGUGAAUAAAACUGACCUCAUGUGGUUG
This is a long non-coding RNA of Paramacrobiotus metropolitanus, 654 nucleotides long. RefSeq lists it as uncharacterized. Lineage: Eukaryota; Metazoa; Tardigrada; Eutardigrada; Parachela; Macrobiotidae. The record is from RefSeq and is a predicted model, not a curated record. The transcript is spliced from 2 exons.